AAAUUGAAGAGUUUGAUCAUGGCUCAGAUUGAACGCUGGCGGCAGGCCUAACACAUGCAAGUCGAGCGGUAGCACAGAGAGCUUGCUCUCGGGUGACGAGCGGCGGA
This 107-nucleotide ribosomal RNA is filed under the name Klebsiella pneumoniae. Its description in RNAcentral is "partial 16S ribosomal RNA". It matches the Rfam family "Bacterial small subunit ribosomal RNA", at positions 1 to 102 of the family's 1533-position model. Lineage: Bacteria; Pseudomonadati; Pseudomonadota; Gammaproteobacteria; Enterobacterales; Enterobacteriaceae. RNAcentral also lists the same sequence under 3 other names. The record is from RNAcentral.